UACGGAGGAUCCGAGCGUUAUCCGGAUUUACUGGGUGUAAAGGGAGCGUAGACGGCGGUGCAAGCCAGAUGUGAAAGCCCGGGGCUCAACCCCGGGACUGCAUUUGGAACUGCAUGGCUGGAGUGCGGGAGGGGCAGGCGGAAUUCCUAGUGUAGCGGUGAAAUGCGUAGAUAUUAGGAGGAACACCAGUGGCGAAGGCGGCCUGCUGGACGAUGACUGACGUUGAGGCUCGAAAGCGUGGGGAGCAAACAGG
Molecule: ribosomal RNA, 253 nt
Filed under: uncultured Blautia sp.
Lineage: Bacteria; Bacillati; Bacillota; Clostridia; Lachnospirales; Lachnospiraceae
Description: partial 16S ribosomal RNA
Rfam family: Bacterial small subunit ribosomal RNA
Source: RNAcentral